UCACACCUGAUCCCAUGCCGAACACAGAAGUUAAGCUCCUUAGCACCGAUGGUAGUCGGUCAUACGAUCCACAAAAGUAGGACGUUACUAGGC
This 93-nucleotide ribosomal RNA is filed under the name Staphylococcus pettenkoferi. Lineage: Bacteria; Bacillati; Bacillota; Bacilli; Caryophanales; Staphylococcaceae. The record is from RNAcentral.